RNAcentral lists this ribosomal RNA (1337 nucleotides) under uncultured bacterium. RNAcentral describes it as "bacterial SSU rRNA". It matches the Rfam family "Bacterial small subunit ribosomal RNA", at positions 28 to 1381 of the family's 1533-position model. The record is from RNAcentral.
GACGAACGCUGGCGGCGUGCUUAACACAUGCAAGUCGAACGGAAAGGCCCUUCGGGGUACUCGAGUGGCGAACGGGUGAGUAACACGUGGGUGAUCUGCCCUGCACUUUGGGAUAAGCCUGGGAAACUGGGUCUAAUACCGAAUAGGACCACGCGCUUCAUGGUGUGUGGUGGAAAGCUUUUGCGGUGUGGGAUGGGCCCGCGGCCUAUCAGCUUGUUGGUGGGGUAAUGGCCUACCAAGGCGACGACGGGUAGCCGGCCUGAGAGGGUGACCGGCCACACUGGGACUGAGAUACGGCCCAGACUCCUACGGGAGGCAGCAGUGGGGAAUAUUGCACAAUGGGCGCAAGCCUGAUGCAGCGACGCCGCGUGAGGGAUGACGGCCUUCGGGUUGUAAACCUCUUUCAAUAGGGACGAAGCGCAAGUGACGGUACCUAUAGAAGAAGCACCGGCCAACUACGUGCCAGCAGCCGCGGUAAUACGUAGGGUGCGAGCGUUGUCCGGAAUUACUGGGCGUAAAGAGCUCGUAGGUGGUUUGUCGCGUUGUUCGUGAAAACUCACAGCUUAACUGUGGGCGUGCGGGCGAUACGGGCAGACUAGAGUACUGCAGGGGAGACUGGAAUUCCUGGUGUAGCGGUGGAAUGCGCAGAUAUCAGGAGGAACACCGGUGGCGAAGGCGGGUCUCUGGGCAGUAACUGACGCUGAGGAGCGAAAGCGUGGGGAGCGAACAGGAUUAGAUACCCUGGUAGUCCACGCCGUAAACGGUGGGUACUAGGUGUGGGUUCCUUCCUUGGGAUCCGUGCCGUAGCUAACGCAUUAAGUACCCCGCCUGGGGAGUACGGCCGCAAGGCUAAAACUCAAAGGAAUUGACGGGGGCCCGCACAAGCGGCGGAGCAUGUGGAUUAAUUCGAUGCAACGCGAAGAACCUUACCUGGGUUUGACAUGCACAGGACGCCGGCAGAGAUGUCGGUUCCCUUGUGGCCUGUGUGCAGGUGGUGCAUGGCUGUCGUCAGCUCGUGUCGUGAGAUGUUGGGUUAAGUCCCGCAACGAGCGCAACCCUUGUCCUAUGUUGCCAGCGGGUUAUGCCGGGGACUCGUAGGAGACUGCCGGGGUCAACUCGGAGGAAGGUGGGGAUGACGUCAAGUCAUCAUGCCCCUUGUGUCCAGGGCUUCACACAUGCUACAAUGGCCGGUACAAAGGGCUGCGAUGCCGUGAGGUGGAGCGAAUCCUUUCAAAGCCGGUCUCAGUUCGGAUCGGGGUCUGCAACUCGACCCCGUGAAGUCGGAGUCGCUAGUAAUCGCAGAUCAGCAACGCUGCGGUGAAUACGUUCCCGGGCCU